GCCCAGAUAGCUCAGUUGGUAGAGCACAUCCUUGGUAAGGAUGAGGUCACGAGUUCGAGUCUCGUUCUGGGCU
RNAcentral lists this transfer RNA (73 nucleotides) under bacterium (Candidatus Blackallbacteria) CG13_big_fil_rev_8_21_14_2_50_49_14. RNAcentral describes it as "tRNA-Thr". It matches the Rfam family "tRNA". From Rfam's summary of the family: Transfer RNA (tRNA) molecules are approximately 80 nucleotides in length. Their secondary structure includes four short double-helical elements and three loops (D, anti-codon, and T loops). The record is from RNAcentral. RNAcentral also lists the same sequence under 2 other names. Lineage: Bacteria; Candidatus Blackallbacteria.